This is a long non-coding RNA of Pollicipes pollicipes, 331 nucleotides long. RefSeq lists it as uncharacterized. Lineage: Eukaryota; Metazoa; Arthropoda; Thecostraca; Pollicipedomorpha; Pollicipedidae. The record is from RefSeq and is a predicted model, not a curated record. The transcript has 3 exons.
AAUCUUUCUUGGUUGAAGUGAAAUGGACAGACAGUUACCCUGAUGAGCUCCCAAAUGUCAACCUUGAUGCAUUUUAUAACAACCAUAUUCUGCCACCAGUGAAGCAGCAUGUGGUCAGCCAGGUGCAGGAGCAGGCUGAGGCCAUGCUUGGCAUGUCCAUGACAUUUACUCUCUUCGAGUGGGUCAAGGAAAAUGUCACAGACCUCAUGGAGCAACAGACUUUGGCCCCUGUGAUGGCGGAGGUCACCGAGGAGGUGGAGGAGCUCAGUAUAACACAGGACGGUCCUGGUCGGAAGGAGAAACGGGAGCAGCUAUCGAAGCAGCAGAAGCG